Mustela lutreola (European mink) is the source of this 2698-nucleotide long non-coding RNA. RefSeq lists it as uncharacterized. Lineage: Eukaryota; Metazoa; Chordata; Mammalia; Carnivora; Mustelidae. The record is from RefSeq and is a predicted model, not a curated record. The transcript has 3 exons.
UGCCCCCAGCCCCGGGAGCCAACGCUUCCCCGGCGGGCGGGCGGGCGCGGGGAGCGGUUGGCGCGCGUGUGUUCGCGCAGUGGGAUGCCGGUGGGAGGGCGAGUGUACCCAGGGACGCGCGCGAAUCCCUGCCGGUAGACGAAGGCGCGGCUGCAUGUGUGGGGGCAGCUCGCGGGCUGCGGAGCCUCCUGUGUUUGUGUUUGGGGUUUAUCAAGGUGGUUAAGCUCCUAAAUUCUUCAGCCAGGAGCUAUGUACCCAACAGGCAGACUGCUCAGUCCGUGGAUAUUGUGUAAAUGUCUGGAAUGUACACCUGGUAUCCUCUCCCGGGGUAUCCACAGUUUAACAAAGUAAAUAGAAGAUCUCAAGGAGGAAUAUGCCUUGCAGACUUGGAGGGAGUGGUGAAAGAUGAACGGGCAGUGCUCAGCCACAAGGGGAGAAAAAUGUCAUCUGGGCCCCAGAAUAGCAACAGCAAUAAAUAUGGUCAUGUCGCUCUUCUGCUGAGGCUGAAACGACAGACAGGAUCACAUUUGCAGCACCAAACAGGCCUACUGGCGACCAAGGGCUGGCUCAGGAGUUGGGAGGAAACAUGUACAGAAACUGAUGCUGACCAAGAGCCUUGAUUUUGGAGCUGUGAUAAGGCUUAUGAAGAAAAAGGCACAGAACCCACUGCAGACCUAGAGGGGGCUCUGCACCCUCCUGGCCACUGGGGAGUAAGUUCUAAAUCAGCUUUUAGGACAGCUGGCUCAGGGCUCUUGAGAGCUGAGCCGUGAACUUCCUUGCACGUCUGCCUGAGAACUUGCUGUUAUCUGCAGCUGCCACAACCAUCAAGGCACAUGUGUAAUGAGGAAGGUGACAACGAGGGCUCUUGUUGGUCAUCGGUUAUUUAAAGAGGGCCCAUCGGAUUUCAGCUACUUCAUUGUACGGAAUCAGCACCUUUGCUCCGGGGAGGUCUUAGAGGAAGGGGCACCUCCCUCCCUUUAAAACUACUCAAGUCUCCCUUUUCAGACCAAGCUUCUGGGCUCCAGCCAUUUCUGGGACUCCUGGUGCUUCAUCUCCAUCGUCUCAUUUCAUGUAUAUUUCAAUUUCAUCUUACUAGGGCCAUGUCUCUGGGUGGUGGUGAUUUUACCAUCUUCAUAUUCUCUUGCCACUUGGAAUUGGCAACAGUGGGCUUUUACAUUCGCAGGACUUGCACAGAGCAAUAGUUUUUCAGGCUGAAAAGUUUUUCAGUUGAUACAUAUAUUUGGUUUUUUGGAAAUGGAAGCAAGCAUCACCUGAAUUGGACAAGUUUUCCUUUUUCUGUUGAACUGCCCUGCUCUAAAAGGACAUGAUUGCUUAGAAAGCCAUGCUCCUCUCUAUGAUCUUUGGGGUUUACUGGUCUCCCCACCCAGUCCCCAGUGUCACUUAGGGAGUCACUGGCAACAGUUCAUUGUGGUCACAUGUCACCCAUUUCUCUCAUGCAGCAUGAACAGUCACAGAUUCAAUUUCAUUUUUUCAUUUGUCUCAGUUAUAUGCUUAGGAUUCAAAUUAAUCUUUUCCCUCUGAACCACAGUAUGGCUUUUAUUUAAAAAAUAUGGUAGGUGAAAAAUUAAAACACACUGCUUUAGACUUGGGUAUCACAAUGUAAAAUUCAGUACUUUGUUCUAUUGUCACUAUUAUCUUAUGCUCCUUUAGUAUCUUAUUAAGACCAACACGAUAAAUGAAGUAGUUUUUGUAGCACUAGCUCUCAUGUUUGUUCUCUCAACAUCCCUGGUGAGAUUGGGUAGUUAAAAAAUCAUUCCAGUGUGUUGAAGUUGGCGCCAAAGAAACAGACGACUAUUUAAUGCCCAGGAUAUGCGGCUGCCCAGGACCUUAUCUUGUCCUAUUUAUAAAUUAACAAAGCAAAAUCUGACUUAGAGCAAUCCUUGCAACAUUAGCAUUUUCUUUCUUUAAAGCUUAUGUCUCUGAGUUUUUAUGCCAUUUUUCUUAUGUGGCCAGAGACAAUGUAGGCAUAAAUUAACUUCUCCACUUAUUAUUUAGUGACUAAAAGAACACAAGAGCAAGGAUAUUAGAAAAAUGAAUUCCAGUGUAUUACUGAAUAUUCUAAUUUGAAUUACAAAGAUAAGUGCCAAAUGAUCUUAAAUCCCUGGGAAGAUUCCUUUAAACAUAAAAAGAGAAGGAUAAAAGGUGUCUGGGAAAACUACCUAAGUCACCUUUUGGGAAAUGGGGAGAGAAAGUCACCUUCCACAGAGAGAAUGGCACUCUGUAGUUGUGCUUAAAUGAGAAACUGUAUAUAAGCACACUGUAAAUUAGUAAGAAAGCACUUAUCUUAGGAAACACAACUAAUACAAAGGUACAAUUUCACACUCAAGUUUUAAGUGUCUUCUAUGGAAUAUGUUUCCUUCAAGACUGUGUCUGAGUAUUCUAGAGGCUUUCAGAGUUGCAAACAUUUACAAAUAUUAUUUGUAAAUAUUUAUUAAUGUAACAUUAAGAAAGACGCAUUAGUGAUAUUAUUCAAAUACUAGUCAAGCACACUGGGAAGUGGCUCUUUUUUUUCUCCUUGACUUUUCUUAUCUUCAUAUUAUAAUUGACGUUUGCCUAAUAUUAACACAAUCAGCAAGGCAUAACAAAUCAGCAGAGCAUAAAGCUUAGAAAUGUGUGUAUCUAUGCAUAGUAUCUAAAUAUUUUGUUGUUAUUUCUUUCAUUAGGAAUAUUUAAUUUC